AUCUAAAUAAAGUAAAAUAACAAUAUAAAAUAAAAUGAAAUAAAAUAAAAUUAUAAAAAUAAAAAUAUAACAAAUUAAACACUAAAAAUAAAAAAUAAAUAUUAAAAACACAAAAAAUAAAAAUAAAAAUAAAAUAAAAUAAUAAAAUAAAAAAUAAAAUAAAAAUAAAAAUAAAAUAAAAUAAAAAUAAAAUAAAAUAAAAUAAAAUAAAAUAAAAUAAAAUAAAAUAAAUAAUCCCCUUUGGGAGCGGAGGCUCGGGGGUUCCCAGGGGCGUCCGUGGACGAGGAUUCAUAAAAAAAUAUCUCUGAGAGUGUGAGCUAAAAAUAGACCCGGGGGGGAGGGGAAUGGAAGGUUCUGGAAGGUCCUGGAGGCGCCCAGAGGGGCCUCAGAGCCCUCCUGGAGCUCCUGGAGGUUCUGGAGAAGUUCUGGAGCUCCUGGAGCGGAUCCAGAUGAGUCCUCAGAGCAGUUCUGGAGGAGUUCCAGAGGUUCUUGGAGGCCUUUGAGUGGUUCUGGAUGGUCCUGGAGGGGAUCCAGAGGGUCCUCAGAG
Molecule: long non-coding RNA, 547 nt
Filed under: Zonotrichia albicollis (white-throated sparrow)
Lineage: Eukaryota; Metazoa; Chordata; Aves; Passeriformes; Passerellidae
Description: lncRNA (ENSZALG00000000586.1)
Source: RNAcentral